This is a non-coding RNA of Fukomys damarensis (Damara mole-rat), 74 nucleotides long. The record is from Rfam. NCBI's taxonomy places the organism in Eukaryota, Metazoa, Chordata, Mammalia, Rodentia, Bathyergidae.
GUUGUGCCCUACUCAGAUGAGUGCUGGUUACUUAGACUACAAGUAACCGAGAACUCUCUGGGUAGAGUAAAGCU